This is a long non-coding RNA of Penaeus indicus, 452 nucleotides long. RefSeq lists it as uncharacterized. The transcript is spliced from 3 exons. Lineage: Eukaryota; Metazoa; Arthropoda; Malacostraca; Decapoda; Penaeidae. The record is from RefSeq and is a predicted model, not a curated record.
CGCUUCCUCCUCCACCUCCACCACCUCCUCCUCCUCCACCUCCUGUGCCAGCUCCUCUGUGAACGUACCCGCCUUUACCUGAGGAGUGAGGACCCAACACCUGAGCAUUAGUGAGGACCCAAGGCAGAUAGGCAAAAGUCCUUGAAGAGACAACAUGGGGGAAGAAUAAGCAAGGCGGGGAUGGCUCUCGCGGCAGCCCACUUACCAGAGGACACAACUGGUGACAUUGCCCCAGAGUCCGGUAGUGGAUCUAGGGAGGUCUGGCGAACAUCACCAAAAGUGGUAGAAUCAACCACAUAAUCUGGGGUGAUCUCAAAAGGUGUGCGACUAUACCGCUGUAGGUGUGACGACAGCAUUCCGUGUCCUCCGAGGGGCGCCGAGGACAGGCGCACAGGAGGACGUGGCCCAAGCGACACAACCAAAGGAAGUGCCGUGCAACGCCCCACACCCCC